ACCAUCCUUACUCCUUCACGCCGCAACACCCAAGUAGCCACAACGCAAGCCACUGCAACGAAGCCAUGAACGAGCCCUCCACGUAAAUCCCUCUGCCCUGUCUCACGGAUCAACUGCUGCCGCAGCGGCCUUCCACGCCAAUCACCACCUGUUGUCGUUGUAUAGAAACCACCCCUCCUCACCCACUGUUAAACUGCCUUUGAGGGCCACCGUACCUCACAGCCUUUAACGCCCUACGUAGAGUUCUACAACCCGUGUUCAGCGAUUUUAGCCACCACAAGUCGCUGCCAUGGAAGCCCCUGUUUUAGCCUCCUAAAACAGAGCAACGUCAGCCUUGUUAUCAAACCCUUUUCGGUGCCGCCAGUCACGUUAAGGAGAUACAGCGGCGUCGAUCAGUGGAGCCUCAGAAAGCGCAGGUCGUGCCACCCCAGGUCCGCCGUGACCACCUCCCGCCGCCCAGCUCGCCGACGUAUCCACUGUCCACUUCCCAGCUCUUCGCGCAACUCCUUCUCGCACGAUAAUUUUAAUAGUUCAGCUGGAGAAUAAGAGUAAGAAGUUUUAGCAAGGUGUGAUGAUCGUAGUGGAAUAAGUGCCCGAAGGUACAAGUGCUUAUCUAAGAGUCGUAUUUAGUAAAUUGAUUUAUUUUCUAAUAUUUUGAUUUGAUGAGUUAAGAAUAUUUUCAAGUCUUUAGGAGUUUUAAUUUAUGUUAUUAAGAAUUUUUUUGUUGUCCCUAUGAAGGAACAUAAAUAUUUAGAUUGAGUGAAUAAAUUAAGAUUUUAUAAAGUUUUCUAGAUUUUAUAGUUGUAAUAUUGAAGUUGAUAGUAAGUAAUAAGAACUAACUCUCCGGACCUCCAGAAACGGGACGUUACAAUGACGACCCAAUCCUAUAUUAUUAGGGAUAAAUUAAGAAUAAUUUCAUUGAGCCUAAAUUAGAUUAAUGGGCUAAUAAUUAUAGAAGCCGAAUCGAGAUUUAUAGAAUUAUUUUAGAUAGGCCAUGGCCCAUAAAUUAUUCAAACAAAGUAUGAAAUUUUCAUGGGAAUCAAUAAAUGAGUUAAAAAGCCCAUUUAAUAGACCAAAUGGACCUUAAUUAAUUAGUAAUAGCUCAGGAACUUUUCUAAAAGCCCAUAAAAAAAGUUUUAUUGGAUGAGUUAGGUUUAUAUCGGACCUUGAGAAUUUAGGCUCAGUUUAUUAUAAACUCCAAGCCCGUGAAAGUGUUCAACUCCAAACACAGUUACCAUUCUGCAUUCCUCCUCACAAUACAAUUCCUAACCGAUUGCUUUCUAUAAACUCCAACCAUCCACGUCUCAAAUUCCACUACAAUUCACUCAAUAGAGCACUCCCAACGGGAUUACAAUUCCACAUUCAGCUCCACGUUAAAAGUCUUAAACCUAACAAUAUAAAGUCCUCUGCUGUAUGUGAGAAUCACUAGGAAGCUUGAAGUAGCCGCACCUCACAUUCCUCACGUUACAGCCACAACCAAUCACAAGCACGCUGGAAACCACCCACAUCCCUUCCUCCCUCACAGCUCACGGCCUCCACACCGUGGUUGUCACCACAUCCCCUUAAACCAACACACGCCCAAGCCCCAAGUCCUCCACCGUGAGCCUCUUCAUCCACGCCGCAACCCACGUAGAUUAGCCACUUACAAACUGCCCACAUCCGGUGUUACUCAGCCACCGUGAAGACUGUGACCCAACUGAGUGCACCAUAAAGAACUGUUUUAGCCACCUCCUCCACACACAACCAGCGCCCACCGUAGCUCAUCCUCGAAGCCACACUGUGAAUUCUGACCACCAGGUUGCCUAGCUAGAGGAGACACUACGCCGCUGCACCUUGGAGAGCCAACAAGCCACCUGCGCAAGCCUCUGUUUUCACACCCAAAAACAGAGAAAAACACGUCCAGCAGCUGCUCCAUGCUCCCUUCCUCAGCCGCAGAUAACGACAACCAGACAUGCCUUCCCGUUGAGCACCACUGCUCUAUCGUACCCCUCCGCCUCUCACCACGGUUGCACUGCCUUAGAAAAACCACCUCACUCGGCAAGGUCCCUCUUUAUCUACACGGGCCACUUUCUUUCACUACCCUCUUUCUUGACGUCAAACUCUCUCUCUCUCUCUCUCUCUCUCUCUCUCUCUCUCUCUCUCUCUCUCCAUUUAAUCAGCACCAAACUAUCCAAUCUGUUAGACCACGACAUUCUGUGAGGAUGCACGUGAGCUACGUGGAAGUUUGGAACGUACGUAACAAAACAAGUUGAACGUGAAAAGCUUGUCGCAUGCGACAUGCAUGCAGAGAAGAGCUUGCGGGCACGUGAAGAAUGAGAAGGCUGCGCUAGGGUGGACUGGGUCAUUGGCAGUUAGAGUGAGGUUUUCUGCAUAUUUAGUUCGUUAAUUCGUGUACUCUAUUUUUCUGCAUGUUUAGUUCAUCUGCUCUGUUUUCUGUUUUCUGUUUUUACGUGUGUUAGCGUCCAGUUGUUGGUUUCUAGUUUUCCUUUUGUUUCGGUUUGCUAGUUUGUACGUGGCUUUGCUUAUCUAAGCAGCCCAUGCCUCAGUUAAUGAGAUUAUGAAGUAUUUUGCAUUCAAA
Molecule: long non-coding RNA, 2578 nt
Organism: Carya illinoinensis
Lineage: Eukaryota; Viridiplantae; Streptophyta; Magnoliopsida; Fagales; Juglandaceae
Exons: 3
Source: RefSeq, a predicted model, not a curated record